Molecule: transfer RNA, 69 nt
Filed under: Rattus norvegicus (Norway rat)
Lineage: Eukaryota; Metazoa; Chordata; Mammalia; Rodentia; Muridae
Rfam family: tRNA
About the family: Transfer RNA (tRNA) molecules are approximately 80 nucleotides in length. Their secondary structure includes four short double-helical elements and three loops (D, anti-codon, and T loops).
Source: Rfam by way of RNAcentral
GGGGAUUUAGCUCAGUGGCAGAGCACUUGCCUAGCAAGCACAAGGCCCUGGGUUCGGUACCCAGCUCCG